UUUCCCAGCAAUCGGAGGCUUCAAGAAGCCUCGAUCGGUGGGGAAUUUCAUCAUCCUCUUCCCUCUUCUCCACUGUCUCUCUCUCACAAACCUUCACGGUUGGCAGGAUCCGGUGUUAGACCCACGCCGUCGGAGCAGAGGGCUGCAUCGUCGGAGUAGGAGACGAACGAUCCCCUUCAAAGCAGGUGAUCAAGGAUUUGUCACCCGAACGUAAGAAAUUGGAAAGCAUAUUGCUAUGAUUAAGACCACUAGGAGCAGGGAGCUUGAUGUUAUUCAGGGUUGGGGUAAUUGAAAAUGUUAUGUAAUAAUCAGAUUUUAGAAGCUCUGUACUGUUCCAACUUCAUGAACAAUGUUAUGACAUUAGUAAAUGAAA
Molecule: long non-coding RNA, 373 nt
Organism: Phoenix dactylifera (date palm)
Lineage: Eukaryota; Viridiplantae; Streptophyta; Magnoliopsida; Arecales; Arecaceae
Source: RefSeq, a predicted model, not a curated record